RNAcentral lists this ribosomal RNA (391 nucleotides) under uncultured bacterium. RNAcentral describes it as "bacterial SSU rRNA". It matches the Rfam family "Bacterial small subunit ribosomal RNA", at positions 28 to 420 of the family's 1533-position model. The record is from RNAcentral.
GACCAACGCUGGCGGCGUGCUUAACACAUGCAAGUCGAGCGGUAAGGCCCUUUCGGGGGUACACGAGCGGCGAACGGGUGAGUAACACGUGGGUGACCUGCCCUCAGCUCUGGGAUAAGCCUGGGAAACCGGGUCUAAUACUGGAUAUGACUCCAUGACGCAUGUUGUGGGGUGGAAAGCCUUGUGCGGCUGAGGAUGGGCCCGCGGCCUAUCAGCUUGUUGGUGGGGUGANGGCCUACCAAGGCGACGACGGGUAGCCGGCCUGAGAGGGCGACCGGCCACACUGGGACUGAGACACGGCCCAGACUCCUACGGGAGGCAGCAGUGGGGAAUCUUGCGCAAUGGGCGAAAGCCUGACGCAGCGACGCCGCGUGAGGGAUGACGGCCUCGG